GUUCUCCCUUCAGCAGCACACACACUAAACGUGGAGCAGCACAGAGGAGAUUAGCAUGGCCCCUGAGCAGGAGGACACAAACAUCUGUGAUGUAUUCCAUGGUUUU
Small nuclear RNA from Peromyscus leucopus (white-footed mouse), 106 nucleotides. The record is from RefSeq and is a predicted model, not a curated record. Lineage: Eukaryota; Metazoa; Chordata; Mammalia; Rodentia; Cricetidae.